GCUUACGGUCACACUACCCUGAGAAUGCCCGAUCUCGUCUGAUCUCGGAAGCUAAGCAGGGUUCGCCUGGUUAGUACUUGGAUGGGAGACCACCUGGGAAUACCAGGUGCUGUAAGCU
Molecule: ribosomal RNA, 118 nt
Organism: Astyanax mexicanus (Mexican tetra)
Lineage: Eukaryota; Metazoa; Chordata; Actinopteri; Characiformes; Acestrorhamphidae
Source: Ensembl